RNAcentral lists this signal recognition particle RNA (282 nucleotides) under Cebus imitator (Panamanian white-faced capuchin). RNAcentral describes it as "Metazoan signal recognition particle RNA (ENSCCAG00000010269.1)". It matches the Rfam family "Metazoan signal recognition particle RNA". From Rfam's summary of the family: The signal recognition particle (SRP) is a universally conserved ribonucleoprotein. Lineage: Eukaryota; Metazoa; Chordata; Mammalia; Primates; Cebidae. The record is from RNAcentral.
ACAGGGUGUGGUGGUGUGUCUACCUGUGGUCCCAGCUACACUGAAGGCUGAGGCUGGAGGAUGGCUUCAGCCAGGAGUUCUGGGCCGUAGUACACUAUGCACUAAGUUUGGCAUCAAUAUGGUGACCUCCCAGGAGUUGGGAACCACCAGUUUGCCUAAGAGGUGAAACAGCCAAGAAUGGAAACAAAGGAGGUCAAAACUCCUGUGCUGAUUAGCAGUGGAAUCGUGCCUGUGAAUAGCCACUGCACUCCAGCGUGGACAACACAAUGAGUCCCCGUCUCU